AGUGAACGCUGGCGGUAGGCCUAACACAUGCAAGUCGAACGGCAGCACAGUAAGAGCUUGCUCUUACGGGUGGCGAGUGGCGGACGGGUGAGGAAUACAUCGGAAUCUACUUUUUCGUGGGGGAUAACGUAGGGAAACUUACGCUAAUACCGCAUACGACCUACGGGUGAAAGCAGGGGAUCUUCGGACCUUGCGCGAUUGAAUGAGCCGAUGUCGGAUUAGCUAGUUGGCGGGGUAAAGGCGCACCAAGGCGACGAUCCGUAGCUGGUCUGAGAGGAUGAUCAGCCACACUGGAACUGAGACACGGUCCAGACUCCUACGGGAGGCAGCAGUGGGGAAUAUUGGACAAAGGGCGCAAGCCUGAUCCAGCCAUACCGCGUGGGUGAAGAAGGCCUUCGGGUUGUAAAGCCCUUUUGUUGGGAAAGAAAAGCAGCAGGUUAAUACCCCGCUGUUCUGACGGUACCCAAAGAAUAAGCACCGGCUAACUUCGUG
Molecule: ribosomal RNA, 492 nt
Filed under: uncultured bacterium
Lineage: Bacteria
Description: partial 16S ribosomal RNA
Rfam family: Bacterial small subunit ribosomal RNA
Source: RNAcentral